Molecule: non-coding RNA, 10876 nt
Organism: Xyrichtys novacula (pearly razorfish)
Lineage: Eukaryota; Metazoa; Chordata; Actinopteri; Labriformes; Labridae
Source: the annotation of a GenBank genome assembly
CAUUGGGCAUCGGGGUGAAAGCAGAAUAUCUGGUGCUGGAUUGCACUGUCCACUGUCCUGUGUGGUAACAUGGAAAGGGUAGAUCUUGAGUCUGAGAUGUUUUUACUUUUCCAUUAAUAACCAGUAUUGCUGUGAUUUGUUCUGAAUUUUUUCUGCCAGACAAUUUGGCUGAUGAAAUCAUCAUCUGCUGGACAACUACUGAACCAUCUAAAAGCAGGUAAAAACAGGCGGAGCUUUUUGGCAUGCUUUCUCCGGGUUAUCUUUCAAUGACACAAGUGAAGCAUUUUCUCUCUUAUGAUCAUAAUGUAGCUGGACACAUCAGCGGCACAGCGAGUAUACAGUAUAUCCUGCCAACGAAUUUCUGAAGCAUAGUGCUUUGUUGGCACAACACUCAUUGAUUCAAAGUGAUGAAUUUUUUUAACUGUUACAAAAUGAGUGAACAAAACAAAAAACGAUUGUGUCAUUUUCUAUGCUAAGCUAAGAUAGCCAGCUGCUGGCUGCUACCUUGAGUUUGAUGGUUGGAGAAUGGUCUCAUUUUUCCUUAUCUAAAUUAAGACAAGACAGAAGAGCACCCAGGCAGUGUUAUUUCUUUAAACUGAUGUGGAAAUCAAGAGUUGGCUGCAGGCUGCAGCACCUGAUACUAAUUUUCAGGCCAGAAAGAUGCUCAAACGGAGGGCUAAUAGCAGAACAAACAUGUAGUAGUUCCUGUGCGUGAUGUAUUCCUCUGGUUUUCGACACAUUUUUGUGUCAUAACAGAGGUUCUGACCGAACUGCUACGUCUCCUUAAAUACAAACCAAAUGGGCCAUUAUGCUGUCGAACAGUUGCUGUAGCUCACCGCUCCUCGGACUAACUGUGGCUCAGCCAAGCUGCUGCGGCGGGUGCAAAAAUUACGACAGCUGUCUCAGGUAAACGGUGUAAUAUUUACUCUCUGUCAUAGCAACACCGACGAGUUCUCAGCUGAGUAUCGUGUUGGUUUGAAGCUGCAGAAUGUGAUCGGCUGCAGCUGGAACCAGAUCCCACUUCAUGCAGUUUCUUGGACUGAAUAAAUACUUAUUUCUGAGUCACAUGUGAAAGAGAAAUAAGACUUUAGACACUUUCUGCCAUUGUUUGACUCCAAGCUUAUGUCCAGAUCUGCAUGGCUCUGGUUAGUAAAGCUGGUUCAUAUAAUGACCCCCUCCAUCAGCUCUGAAAUGAAGGUUUCUGUAUGUGUCCAUAUAUGUCCUGGUGAGGUAAGCCCACAGACAUCUCCACCCAAAGAUGGUGCAAAGCGUGAUGACUGAGCUCCAAGGAAGAAUUCAGAGUGCACAGAGUGAGCUCUGUCAGCACUGAGAGGGCCAUAGUUUCCAGAACCCUCCAGAGGUCUCAGACAGCACUGCCAAACAGAGCUUUAAAGUCCUGCUGUGGGCUUUGAAGUGUUAAUGAAGAUGAGACCCCUGUGUCUCUGACAUGAAGAAACCAUGCAGAGCUCCUCUGUGGACAUUGAAUUUGGCUUUGGAUCUUCUGGUUCAGUCAUCGUAAAUGUUGGUGAGAUGUCCGUGGACAUAAGAUAUUAAAGAUUACACUUUAACCUGAAGGGAAAUGUAUGAUACUUUUCAGGAUAUUUUUCCUCACCAAUGACAUCUACAGUUACAUUAACUGUGUAUUCAGUAUCAUAAAAUUAUGUACUUUUGACCCACAUUUAGUCACAAGAGUCAAGGUCUUUGACUUGGUUUGGCAUUGCUCUCAGCAAACAUACACAGACAGUGGCAUACUCAGGCUAUUUUAAGAACAGAAAAUGAGUGUUAAAAUGUUACACUUUCCAUGUUUAAGACACUUUCUUGUGGCGUGUGGUGUAUCUUGUGGACCCAGAAGCAGACACAGAGGCAGAUAGCAAAUUAAUGAUGUAUUUAAUGUCCAACUCAGGGAAAAAGGCAUGAGAGAAAGUCCAGUUUGCUGGCUGGCUGUUGUGUGGGCUGGAGACACUGUGGAGAGGCAGAGGAGAUGGAAGUGAGAAGAUAUACAAAGAAUCACAGGGAGCAAAAAAGUCACAAGCACUUAUCCAAUGAGAAGCGUCUUUACCACUAAGGAAUGAAGAAAAUACUCAGGCGCUAAGACUGAGGGCUGCUCCCUCCGAAAGGGCCUUGAUUGCAGAUGCAGUGCAGGUGUGGAGUCUCACUCAGCCUUAGCGACCGGGGAGGGGGCAGGUGCUCUGGAAAAGAGUCACGCCAGACCAGGAAAACAAAGAAAAACAGGAAGUCCAACCAAAAUAAAACAAGAGGAGGAGGCGUCUCACCACAGUACCCCCCUCUCAACGAACGCCUCUUGGCCAGGUUUGUUGGGGUGAGCGGCGUAGAAGUCGUUGAUGGUCCAGGAUGAGGGAGCGCUCCUCUGGCCCGUGUCCCUCCCAAUCCACAAGGUAUUGGAAGCCUCGACCCCGAGGCUGCACGUCCAUGAUUCGUCCCACAGUGAAGGCAGGGUGGUCGGGGGGGGGGGGGGGCUCAGGGUGCAUGAGGUGACAGGCUUUAUCAGGGAGACAUGAAACUUGGGGUGAAUUUUGAGGAAUGAGGGAAGUUUCAGUCUUACCGCUGAUAGGUUGUUAAUUUUCUGGAUCGGGAAGGGACCAAUGAAGCAGGGGGGACAGCUUGCGGGACUCGGUCUGCAGGGGAGAGUCACGGGACGAUAACCAGACCAUCUGACCGGGAUGAUAGUCUGGUGCUGGAGAGCGGUGAAUGUCAGCCAGGCGUUUGUUGUGCUUGGCCGUGCGGGUGAGUGCGGCCCUGGCGGAUCUCCACACUUCCCAUAGACGCCCAAUGUGCUCCCUCACUGACGGAACAGCCACCGGGUGCUCCUGUUCGGGAAACAGGGGGGGCUGGUACCCAAAACAGCACAUUGAGGGGGGGCAUACCUGUGGCCGAGGAGGUGAGGGAGUUAUGGGCGUACUGGAUUCACGGGAGGGGAGUACUCCAGGACGCUGGAUGAUGGGCCGCCACACACUGCAAAGCCGACUCGAGGUUAUGAUUGGCCCGCUCCUUCUGGCUGUUGGUCUGUGGGUGGUAGCCUGAGGAGAGGCUAGCUGCCGCGCCUACUGCCUGGCAGAAAGCUUUCCAGACCUGGGAGGAGAACUGGGGACCACAAUCUGACACUAUGUCCAUGGGGAUACCAUGAAGUUGGAAUACAUGAGACACUAGGAGAUAAGCAGUUUCUAGAGCAGACAGGAGCUUGGGUAAUGGGACAUAAUGCACAAAUUUGAAAAAUCUGUCUAUGAUGGUGAGUAUGACUGUGUUACCUUCAGAAGGGGGGAGACCAGUGACGAAAUCUAGAGCUAUGUGAGACCAGGGGCGUGAGGGCACAGGCAGAGGAUGCAGUAAGCCAGCCGGAGGUUGAUGGGAAGCUUUGCCUCGGGCACAGACGGAGCAGGCAGCAGCAAAAGCCGUACGUCCAGACCAUCCCCGGCCACCAGAACCACUGCUAAAGGAAUUGGAGGGUGCAUUGAAAUCAGGGGUGGCAGGUGAGUUUAGAGGAGUGCCCCCACUGUAGGACCUGGGAACGUGCAACCUCAGGGAUGAACUUUCUAUCAGGAGGGCCGGUUCCAGGGUCCGGGUGUUUCCGGAGGGCCUUGUCCACCAAGGUGUCGAUCUCCCAAGAGGCAGAGCCAAGGAUACAGGAGGCAGGGAGGAUGGUGUCCAAUUCUCUGGGGUCUGAGGUAGCCGAGGAGUGUAUCCGAGAUAGGGCGUCAGGUUUAGGGUUGGGGGAGCCGGGACGAUAGGAGAGGGUGAAGCAGAAUCUGCUGAGGAAGAGGGACCAGCGGGCUUGCCUGGAGUUGAGGCGUCAAGCAGAAUGGAGAUAUUGCAGGUUUUUGUGGUCAGUCCAGAUGAGGAAGGGGUGUUGUGCUCCUUCCAGCCAGUGUCUCCAUUCUUGGAGUGCCCACACAACAGCCAGCAACUCACGGUUUCCCACGUCGUAAUUGCGCUCGGUGGGUGAGAAUUUCCGGGAGAAGUAGGCGCAAGGAUGGAGCUUCUGGGUCUCAGAAUCCCUCUGUGAGAGGACGGCCCCCACUCCAGACUCUGAAGCGUCGACCUCCACCACGAAUUGGAGAGAGGGAUCCGGGUGUUUGAGCACCGGGGCGGAGAUGAAGAGGGACUUGAGUUGACGGAAGGUGGCGUCUGCUUCAGGGGUCCAGGAGAACGGAACUUUGAGGGAUGUGAGACGGGUGAGAGGCACAGCCACCUUGCUGUAGUUCCGGAUGAAUCUCCUGUAAAAGUUUGCAAACCCGAGGAAUCGCUGGAGGUCUUUGCAGGAGGAGGGAGUGGGCCAGUCACGGACGGCGCAGACUUUCUCCGGGUCUGGGCUUAGCUCCCCCUGGGCAAUGAUGUAUCCAAGGAAGCUGACAGAGGAGGCAUGGAACUCGCACUUCUCAGGUUUGACAAAGAGGCGGUUCUCAAGGAGGCGCUGGAGGACAAGUCGAACGUGCUGUUGAUGUUCCUCCAGGUUGCGGGAGAAGAUCAGUAUAUCGUCCAGAUAGACGAAGGCGAAUUGGUUAAUCAUAUCACGGAGGACGUCAUUAAUGAGAGCCUGGAACACAGCGGGAGCAUUGGUGAGGCCAAAGGGCAUGACGAGGUACUCGAAGGGGCCAAUGGGUGUAUUGAAGGCCGUCUUCCACUCGUCACCCUCCCUGAUGCGAACCAGGUGAUAGGCAUUCCGCAGGUCCAGUUCGGAGAAGAUGGAGGCAUUGCAGAGAGCUUCGAAGGAGAGAUCGAUGAGUGGCAGGGGAUACUUGUUCUUAAUGGUGAUCUCGUUGAGUCCACAGAAGUCGAUGCAGGGACGGAGAGAGGAAUCUUUCUUUUUUACAAAGAAAAAGCCAGCAGCAAGGGGAGAGGAUGAGGGCCGGAUGAGUCCAGAUGUCAGCGAAUCCUGGAUGUAUUCCUCCAUGGCUUCUCGUUCGGGCCGAGAGAGAUUGUACAGUCUGCUGCUGGGGAGAGGGGCCCCAGGGAGCAAAUCUAUGGCGCAGUCAUAGGGGCGAUGAGGAGGAAGGACGAGAGAUUGUUCUUUAUUAAAAACCAAUGCCAGAUCAUGGUAAACAGGGGGGACCGAGGCGAGAGAUGGUAAUGGCGGUGCCGACCUUUGUCGGUGGAUGAAGGGAUUGGCGGAGCGGAGGCAGUGAGAAUGGUAGUGAGGACUCCAGGUGGAGAUUGAAGCGGUGGACCAGUUAAUUUGGGGAUUGUGGUUUCCUGAAAGGAUGAGGGUUGAGAGGAGUAGUGCAGUGGGAUAUGAUGGCCAUAACCCUGCCAUCGAGAGCGGUGACCUUAUGGGGAACCGGGAGUACCUCCAGGGGGAGCUGAAGCCGCGCUGCCAGUCCGGCAUGAAUGAAGUUGUCAUCUGCCCCUGAGUCAAUAAGGGUUUGUAGCGAUGUACAUUCUUUCCCCACAGGAGGCAAGCAGGUACGGAGAUAUGUCUGGGGGAGCUGGGGACAGAGGAGGUUUGGCUCAUCAGGGUGCCCUCUGUCACUGAUUAGCCUGGCCGUUUAAUCUUGUUAGGACAGCUGGGCAGAAAGUGGCAGGCCUGGCCACAAUAGACACAGAGCUUCUGAUCCAUCCGUCGUUGCCGUUCGCUGGGGUGUAAUUUGGUGCGGCUGAUUUGCAUGGGUUCCCCGGUAGAGGGCUCCAGAUCCAGGUGAACUGAGGGCUGCAGAGGAGACCCACUGACUGCAAAAGAGGAUGGGGAGUCUACGGUAUGGGUAGGGUAAUUUAAUUUAUUUUCCCUCCGUCUCUCCCUUGAGGCAAUUGUCUAAUCGUAUGGCUAUUGGGAUUAGCUCCUCAAGUGAGGAGGGUUCGUCACGAGCAGCUAAUUCAUCUUUUAGCUGUUCGGACAGACCAUGAGAGAAUACACCCUUUAACUCUUGUUCCCCCCACCCACUCUUAGCCGCCACUGUGCAAAACUCAAUAGAGAAUUCCACCACAGACCGAGAGUCCUGGGUGAGGGAAAACAACUGCUUAGUACAUUUGGGACCCUUGACAGGAUAAUGAAACACCUUGCAAAGUUCCUCAGUGAACCUGGCGUAUGAGGACAACAUCAGCGAAUUUUUCUCCCAAAUGGCAGUAGCCCACUUAACGGCUUUGCCUCUUAAAAGGUUCACAGUGUAGGCAAUCUUGGACUGAUCCGAGGGAUAACUAAUUGGCUGUUGAUCGAACACUAAAGCACAGUGGAGCAGGAAACCUCUGCAGCCCCCAAUCUCCUCAGCAUAUGGCUCAGGAGGAGGGACAUAGGGCUCUUUGAUGUUAGGAGAGGGUGGGGAAGGUGUACAUAUACAUGUAGACAGCACUCUUUCCAUAUUUUUAAUAUAUUUCCAUAUUUUUCAUCUGAAAGAUCAUCUACUGGGCUAGUUUUCCAAGUGUAAUUCUCUAGUGUGAGGACAGGGGAACAUCCAGGGGUCAAUUUGCCGUUAUUCAUACUUUGAUGAGCAGCUAUCAAUGCAAAGAAAAGGAACAAGAGAGGAUGUUUUAUAAAGCAUUAUAACUGGAGCAUCUAAGAGGGCAGGACCUCUGCAGGACUGUAAAGAUUUGAGGGCUCCAGGGGAGUAAAAAAUGAAACAUCCCUUUAUGUGAUUAAUGCUGAUGUGUUGGUCAUACUGUUUGAAAAACUACAGUGAACUUUUCAGGUGAUAUUAUGGUCUAAUACCAAAAUUUUGACUUUUUUAAAUCAAUACUAAAUUACUUAUCAUGAUUUAACUGAAUUGUCACAAGAGCAUACCUGUAUUAUUUUAUCUAAUUUGGACUAAUUGAGGGAUCAAAUAUAUAAUAUUUAUAUCUAAGAUAUAUUCAAAACGCAAUGAGGCAGAAAAGAAAUCUCUCACAAAUGUCCUGGCCAACAUAGACAGGAGCACAGUAAAAAUAAGUUUCAGAAAAAAAGCAGACAUAAAUUCAACAAAGUAAAACAAACAUGAAUGAUACAUUAAAAAACAUGAAAUAGCAAAUCAAGUGAACUACAAUCAUGAGCAGAUAAUCUUUCUGCCUCCAAGUCUCAACUGAGUGAAUACAAAAUAAAGACAAUGUUGGUAGAAAGUGCUGUAAUACUUAUACAUGUUUAAAUACAUGUUUAUUACUUUGGGGCUGAAAUUUAAAUAUUCCUCUGUAUAUGUGUCAAAGAAUAAACUUGUUGACUCCAGAUGACAUGAGCUGCCUACGGCUGACUACAGUUAACUACAGCUGACUACAGCAGUCCACCUUGUUUUUCUGAGGCAGAGGUAGUCUCAGGGCACCAACAUGGCAUCAUUAUUAUACUAUAGUUACACUAAGUAACGUCUGACUGAGUGGGUGAUCAAUAACAGUUGCUUCGUAUUAUGGUCUUUAAAUGACAAAUGUUUUUUCAAAUAUAAUUUAAAUUGCAAGAAAUUUGGUAAAUUGUCAGAGUACAGAAAGUCUUUAAAGUAAACAGGUUCCUGAAGGCUGCAUAGAUAAAAAUGAUUAAAUGUGGACACUGCUUUCAGAAAGAUUUAAAGUGUCUGAUGCAGCAGGCAGCCAAACAAAACCUCUGAAGGACUCUGAGCUGAACAGGACUGAAUUAAACCGUUGAUAAAUGCCAGUCCUCUGAAGAGCUGUAGCUGCAGAGAGAUCUCAUCAGAGGUCUAAUCAGCCAUGACGGGCUCGUCAAUCCAGACAGCUUUACUCCGAACAUGUGUGUGUAUUUAUCUGAGGGAGGAGACAAAUAAAAAUAAGAGCUGUCUCACUAACAUCUGGAGGAGUGGGCUCCUGCGUGGGCUGUGUGUGCCCGUCUGAUUCCAGAUUUAUGCUAACAUUACAGCUCUGGCUCUGCUCUUUGUGCUGGAGGCCUGUUGGUUUACUGGCCUUCAGAGCUGGCUGCCACCCUGAUGCCACACCGCCUGCCAGGUCUGCAGCCUCUCUCUCUCUCUCUCUCUCUCUCUCUCUCUCUGUGUGUGUGUGUGUGUCUGUAUGUGUGUGUGUGAAUACCUGCUCUGAUGAAGCGUGUGCGUGCUUCUCACUGUUCUUUUAAAAUACGUGCUGAGCCUUCUCUAAAUCUGUGCUCCAUUUGUGGGAUUUUUCCAUGUGGUGAUAAAAGGGGCCGGACCCUCCGCCCCCUCCUGUACACACAAACCCCAACACAGACGUAGAGAUUGAAUCUCCUCCAUCCGUCAACAAUGUAUCUUUGUGUUCCCAAACACAAAGUGUUAACGUGAGAGGACCUUCCAGCCUCUCUCAGGCCUCGCUUGCUGCCAAACCGCAUUCCUCCAGCAGCUGCCAUUUCUUACAUCUGCUGCAUUGACGUGGUUUCACUUGACUGUAGUGAGGAAUUUAUUUAGCUUUUCUGUGAUGAAAUAUUACACAGAGACACCCGGCCCUGCUCCCCUCUGUGUCUUAUUUGUGAUCCCGUGGCUGUCAUUAUGUUAUGAGAGGUUGUGGCUUCUGUUUUACUCUGCUGUCCGCCUGCUGCUGCUGAGGCUAACACAGCGGUGGAAAUACUCUCUGACCUCGCAGUAUUUCAAACAGACCUGCUGCGGAGACUGGCACUGCACACUGUGUGAAAUCAGGCUGUUUAGAGAGAAAUUAAACUUUACACUUUUACCUCCAAAAGGAGGAAAUAUGGAUGGCAAAGUUUACCACGUAGUUAGAGGUAAGUUUUGUGUGUCUCCACACAAGCUUUGCAGAAAAACUGAGUUCAAACCAGGGCUGCACGAUACUACAAAAACAAUACUGCAAUAUUUUUCCGCUGUGUAAUAUACUUAAGACAUAUAAAUACUGAAAUAUACAGCAGAUAAAUGCAAAGUAGUUCAAAUACUUUUUGAACAAUAAAAAUGUUCUUAUCAUAUUCAUUAUUUAUUCCUUCAGUCUUGACUAAUAAACACAGUUCACUGAUUUAGAAGUCAUCAGUGAUUUCUGUCAGCAUCUAAAAUAUUUUUUUUUUCAAAUUUUUCCAUAGAGCACUAAUUCACAAAAAGUGUUGUCUGCAGAUGCUUUACAUAAAAGGUGGUGUGGACCAUGACCAGUAACAAAGACAUCAAAUGAUAUUUAAUCUGCAUCACUAGCAUCAUAACUGUACACUAAUUUUUCCAAACUCUGUUUUCUUUUGCAUGUGAUUUUCAGAUCACCACAGUGUUUGUGCUCUGUAGGUUUAGAUGCAGAAGUUUAAAGAUUAUGUUUCUGUUAAAGGUCCCCUAUUAUGAAAAAUCCACUUUUGGGUGGUUUUCCACCAAUUAUAUGCAUCCCCUCAAAUCCGACCCCUUGGGUGUGUUUACCAUCAUUGGUAUUCAUCUUUGGACUCACGGGUGUUCCUUGGGGGUGAAGGCAAGCUGGUGCUUCCAGGUGGGGUGGUGUGGAGGUCCUCUGAAGAGGUCCUCAGAAGAUCUCCAGACCACCACUCCUGGGCCACCGCUGCAGUGUUGGCAGCUCAGAGUGGCCUUGGGGAGGAAGAGUGUGGUUACACACAGCUCACUAUCAAAUUUUAAGGUACCUGCCAAAGACUGUACUAUGGCAUACUAUGGACAACUUGGUUCUGCCUCCCGUCAGUAUAUGGAUUUGAAGCCAAAAAGCUCUCUGUAUUUCCGCGAUUUUUCUUCAUUUCCUGAAAGCAUUACUGCGCAGUAGCGUUGUGCGCAUUUGGCGGGAGAGUUGCUGUGAUGACGCUGGGCUCAAACAGCAUUUCCCCCUGGUGAGCUACGCAAUCCUUGAAUGCCAAUAGAGCUGUACAGAAAAAUGAGGACUUGAGCACAAACCAGUCUUACUGUAACUACAUGUCAACACCGCAAGCAGGGGGAGAAAAAUGUAUGUUCUGUGUAAUUAAUUUCUAAAGUUUGUCCACAGCUCCAUAAGCUUUGCUGGCGGAGGCGGGAUUUAUGACCUAUACUGCAGCCCAUCAACAGAGGGUGCUGUUCUCGGAGUGGCUUCACCCAGCAAGGAGGCAGACUCUGUCCAUUCUAUAUACAGUCUAUGAUAAGUACACUCAUCAUGCGCACAGUGCAAAUAUAAAUAUAAAUGUCAACUUAGACUUUUACAAAAAAUCUUAUAUAUAAAAAAGAAAAAAACACAUAAGCAAUAACAACAAAACUUAAACUGGUUCUGCACAGACCUUUAAAGUUAGUUUAGCAGUUGGUGUCCCCACUACUUCAACUUCAACUUUAUUUCAUUUAUAUGGCACUUCUCCUACAAGUUGUAACACAAAGUGCCUUACAAACAUAAAAAGAAAAUGAAACAUUAAAAUCCCCAAGAAAACCCCAAACCUCCCACCCGCACAAUUAUACCCAUACACACACCCGUGAACAUAGACAUACAUUUCCACACACACAACCUCACAUACACACACACCUACACAGUUCGCAGCUGAUGGUGAGGAGACAUGACUGGGCACUGAGAUCUGAGGUGAGGAAGACGCUACCUUUGGGGGCCACGUCGACCGGGAGGCGUCCAGGCCCAUUGCUGCAGGGGGCGCCGUCACAGGGACCACCAGCCCGGGCAGACAGGAGGCUCUGCACCAAGGUGUAGAGCUCUCUGGUUCCACCCGGGCCAGAGCUGUCCCCAGAGCGGCGUCCCCACCAACAGACCAGAACCCGCUCCCGGUGAAGCAGCCCCCAGGAGGAAACACUGGAAAAACUGAGGGACUAAAAGAAUAAAAUAAGACAUAAAAGUAUAGAAACUAAAACUGAAGGAAUAAAACUGUAAUCGCUAAGACAGACCCAGUAAAUAAUGUAAGAUAAAAUGAUUCUGUGCACUGUAUAACACGCCAGACUAAAAAUAAUAAUAAUAAAAUUGAUAGAUUGAAGUACUGUAUAAAAUAGAAUGGUAAUAAAAAGUGUUAGAUAGUAAAACAAUAAAAGUGAGCAUAAAAGGGAUUAAAAGAGUUAAACUAGUCAGUUAAAAGCCUGAUUAAAAAGAUGAGUCUUUAGCCUCU